Molecule: long non-coding RNA, 474 nt
Organism: Suricata suricatta (meerkat)
Lineage: Eukaryota; Metazoa; Chordata; Mammalia; Carnivora; Herpestidae
Exons: 3
Source: RefSeq, a predicted model, not a curated record
UGAUGAUUAUACCUGUGGGCGGCAACAAAUCUACUUGUGAUAGACCUGGCUUUGAAUUGCUGCUAAAACUAAAAUGUCCAUAAGGAGGAAAAUCAUCUCUCACUGUGGAUAAGUCACUGAAGGUGAUGGAAUCGUACAAGCACGCACCUUGACAGGUGGAGAUGGUCCACGCCGCAGACCAGUUCCCUCAGACACCACCAUGUGGACUUUCCUCUACAUCAUCUGAAGAGGUCAACCCACUACUAUUGUGGAAGUCAGGCCACUGAAUCAAUGGCCAACUGUGGCUUUUAAGUCAAGAAUGUAAGGCGCUGGAGAAAUAUCACCGCUGGAUAUCCCUUAAUAUCUUUGUCAGUGCGAAAAACACACCAGCAACACCUGAAUACAAUGCAAUAUAAGCCAUAGUCCCUGCCCUAGAGGAACUGGUUAAAAGAGAGAACGUAUAAACUGUGAAAAAACUGACUCAUGUCAACAGUG